Molecule: long non-coding RNA, 291 nt
Filed under: Cucumis sativus (cucumber)
Lineage: Eukaryota; Viridiplantae; Streptophyta; Magnoliopsida; Cucurbitales; Cucurbitaceae
Description: long non-coding RNA (CSAT_LNC002923)
Source: RNAcentral
UUGAUUUCAAUUUUAUCAUAGAAAUCAGAAUGUCACGUCGUUUAACAAUAACAUAAGCUUACUUAUUUCUGAGAGAGGAACAAAAAAAAGGAUAGAGAAAGAAGAUAAAAGGAUUAGUUCAGACUUCGUUUUCUCAAAGAACGUGAUUUACGAUGAGAAAACAAAAGAACUAUCAGAUGAGUGAAAAAAGGGCGAGGUGGCAGGGAGAGGGAGCGAGUAGGGAAGUGGACCUCUAACGUGCGAGUAGGAUAUACCUCCGAGUGGGAUCCGGAGGAAAUGAUUUGUUCUUUC